UUCUAAAGCAGUUUUCACAGCCACAAAGCACUCGAUUUCCAAGGACACACUAGAGGGAACUCUCUAAGCACAAACAUUUCCAAAUGUUCCUUUAGGCUGACUGUAAAUGGCAUGAUUCACCCCCCUCAGACUGUCCCCUAGCAACGAGUACAACCAUCAACAAAGCUCCACCAUUCAUCUGCUGUCUGAAGUGUCUUGUGCAGUCACUACAUAAGACAUAGGAAGAAGGCUGAGCUACAAACCUCCUAAAGCUCUAUCUUCUGUUGGAUGAACUCAGGCAGCACAACCACUUAUCUCAAGCCAAGGAAAAAACUACAGCUUUACUUGCUCUACUGGAUGGAAAUUACUGAAGAAAGCAGCUGGGUGUUCUUUCCCACGUAUGAAUUAAUGCAUUUUGAUAAAGCUUAUUGAAAUAUCUCCUCCCACAAUUCAAAUGAAAGGAAAUCUGACGUGUCAAUUUUUGAAGGAAAAAUCCACAGAAUGCUAAUUCACAACUGACAGUCUUUCAAAUUAGCAGUGGAAAUCUGUUAUUUAGACAAAUCAACUUGGUAGAGAUACUUGGGAGGCUUCCAGCUUCAUGGAAGUA
This is a long non-coding RNA of Passer domesticus (house sparrow), 586 nucleotides long. RefSeq lists it as uncharacterized. The record is from RefSeq and is a predicted model, not a curated record. The transcript has 3 exons. NCBI's taxonomy places the organism in Eukaryota, Metazoa, Chordata, Aves, Passeriformes, Passeridae.